UCAAGCGCGAGAAGGGCGUUUGGUGGAUGCCUUGGCAGUAAGAGGCGAUGAAGGACGUGAUACUCUGCGAUAAGCUUUGGGAAGUCGAGAAUAGACGCUAUACCCAAAGAUCUCCGAAUGGGGCAACCCAACUGAUACUUUGUUAUUGUUACACUUUUGUGUAAUCAAUAAUGGGGUAAAACAGUUAUUAAUUACCUGAAUACAUAGGGUUUUUAAAGCAAACCUGGGGAACUGAAACAUCUAAGUACCCAGAGGAAAGGAAAUCAAUAGAUACUCCCGUAGUAGUGGCGAGCGAACCGGGACCAGCCGAGCGAUGAAUGUGACUAGAACCAGUUGGAAAGCUGGGCAAUAUGGGUGACAGCCCCGUAUAGGAAGCAUGAUUUGACGUAUUAAGUAGGGCGGAACACGUGAAAUUCUGUCUGAACAUGGGGGGACCACCCUCUAAGGCUAAGUACUCCUUACUGACCGAUAGCGAACCAGUACCGUGAGGGAAAGGUGAAAAGCACCCCGACGAGGGGAGUGAAACAGUUUCUGAAACCGGACGCCUACAAACAGUUGGAGCCUCUUUAUGGGGUGACAGCGUACCUUUUGUAUAAUGGGUCAACGACUUGGUCUUACUAGCAAGCUUAAGCCGAUAGGUGUAGGCGCAGCGAAAGCGAGUCUUAAUAGGGCGAAUGAGUUAGUAGGAUCAGACCCGAAACCGAGUGAUCUAGGCAUGAGCAGGUUGAAGGUAAGGUAACACUUACUGGAGGACCGAACCCACAUCUGUUGAAAAAGAUCGGGAUGACUUGUGCCUAGGGGUGAAAGGCCAAUCAAACUCGGAGAUAGCUGGUUCUCCGCGAAAUCUAUUUAGGUAGAGCGUCGCACGAAUACCUUGGGGGGUAGAGCACUGAAUGGGUAAUGGGGACUCACCGUCUUACUGAUCCUAAUCAAACUCCGAAUACCCAAGAGUAAUAUGCGGCAGACACACUGCGGAUGCUAACGUCCGUAGUGGAGAGGGAAACAACCCUGACCCUCAGCUAAGGCCCCUAAUUCAUGGCUAAGUGGGAAAGCAGGUGGGACGACCAAAACAACCAGGAAGUUGGCUUAGAAGCAGCCAUCUUUUAAAGAUAGCGUAACAGCUCACUGGUCUAAUUUAAGUUAUCCUGCGGCGAAGAUGUACCGGGGCUCAAGCCAUGAGCCGAAGCUAGGGAUGCAAUUUAUUGCAUGGUAGCGGAGCGUUCUGUGAUAUAGAACGCUGCGUCUUUAGUAUCUUAGGAUAUUGUGGACGCAAUGUUCUGACUGUGAAGCCGGCGCGUAAGCGAUCCGGUGGAGUGAUCAGAAGUGAGAAUGUUGACAUGAGUAGCGACAAACAGGGUGAGAGACCCUGUCGCCGAAAGUCCAAGGGUUCCUGCUUAAAGCUAAUCUGAGCAGGGUAAGCCGACCCCUAAGGCGAGGCCGAAAGGCGUAGUCGAUGGGAACCAGUUUAAUAUUACUGGGCCAGGAGAUGGUGACGGAUCGAAAGCGUAGUGACUCCUUAUCGGAUUGAAGUUGCUGCCGGACGGUUCCUGGAAAUAGCCCUCCAUUAGAUCGUACCCUAAACCAACACAGGUGGACUGGUAGAGAAUACCAAGGCGCUUGAGAGAACUACAUUGAAGGAACUCGGCAAAAUGCCUCCGUAAGUUCGCGAGAAGGAGGCCCCAUCAGAAGGCAACUUUUGGUGGGGGGCACAGACCAGGGGGUGGCGACUGUUUACUAAAAACACAGGGCUCUGCGAAGUCGUAAGACGACGUAUAGGGUCUGACGCCUGCCCGGUGCUGGAAGGUUAAGAGGAGGUGUGCAAGCACUGAAUUGAAGCCCCAGUAAACGGCGGCCGUAACUAUAACGGUCCUAAGGUAGCGAAAUUCCUUGUCGGGU
This 1896-nucleotide ribosomal RNA is filed under the name seawater metagenome. RNAcentral describes it as "bacterial LSU rRNA". It matches the Rfam family "Bacterial large subunit ribosomal RNA", at positions 1 to 1977 of the family's 2925-position model. The record is from RNAcentral.